UACGUAGGGUGCAAGCGUUUGUCCGGAAUUAUUGGGCGUAAAGAGCUCGUAGGCGGUCUGUCGCGUCGGCUGUGAAAUCCCGGAGCUCAACUCCGGGUCUGCAGUCGAUACGGGCAAACUGGAGUACUGCAGGGGAGACUGGAAUUCCUGGUGUAGCGGUGAAAUGCGCAGAUAUCAGGAGGAACACCGGUGGCGAAGGCGGGUCUCUGGGCCGAUACUGACACUGGAGGAGCGAAAGCGUGGGGAGCGAACAGG
This 255-nucleotide ribosomal RNA is filed under the name uncultured bacterium. RNAcentral describes it as "partial 16S ribosomal RNA". It matches the Rfam family "Bacterial small subunit ribosomal RNA", at positions 524 to 776 of the family's 1533-position model. The record is from RNAcentral.